Brassica napus (rape) is the source of this 2978-nucleotide long non-coding RNA. RefSeq lists it as uncharacterized. The record is from RefSeq and is a predicted model, not a curated record. The transcript is spliced from 3 exons. NCBI's taxonomy places the organism in Eukaryota, Viridiplantae, Streptophyta, Magnoliopsida, Brassicales, Brassicaceae.
AUACAUAUAUUUUAUGCUCUGCAAGCUAAAUUUGUGGGAUUAUACAAUAUUUGGAGAAUAUUACAUAUUAUUGUUAAAAAUUGUUUUAAACUUGAAUAUUCCUAAAAUUUUGGCUAAAUCAUUUUUAGGAAAUUAUUUGUUGAACGUAUGGAGGAUAUUUGCAUAUGUUUUUCUUACGGUUCAUAUGUUGAUGUUGUGUGUUUAGAAAUGAUUUGUUUUCACUUAUUCCAUGAUGUAAUUUUUUACACCUUAGUAUAAUAUAUAUUUUAAAAUAGGAUUGUAAGCUGCAACUGAUUCAUGAUAUAAUAUUUUAUUAAAGUACAAAAUAAUCAUAUUUCGUGAAAAGAUUUGACUGUAAAUUACGACCAAAUCAUGUUUUGAUAUUUUUCUUUUUCUUAUUGUUGUCCUACUCCUCAAUGGCAAUUAGAUUUUCUUAAACUGUUGCCGUGUUUUUAUUUAAAAGUAGAUUUUAGGGACAAUUUGAAAAAUACCCUAUUUAUAAUUCAAAAUUUGAAAUAUACACUUCUAUUUUUAAUUUUUGAAAACUACACUUAAGUAAAUGUGAUAAGACAUUUUUAUCCAUAUUUUAACAAAAACUAUUUGUUUAAAUAACUAAAGUACAAAUUCAAUAAUACUAUUAUCACUAUUAUAAAAUAACACUUGAAAAUCGUAAGAAAUAUUUUAAACUUCUGCAAAUAAUUUUCAAAAAAAAGUUUUACAAUAACUCUCAUUCCUCAUAUAAAACAAUUCUCGUUCACCCAACAUAUACAAUUUUGUUGAAAUUCAUUCUCUAUCAAGCCAUAUUAAUGACUACCCAGAUUUAGAUUGGGUCAAAGUUGGAUUGUUAUUUAUUUUUUGAAGACUUUUAUUUAUUUACUGUUCUUUUGCAUAUAUGGAAAAUCUAGAACAACAAUAACAGUUAUGAAAUUUAACUUAAUUGUAUCAAAGUCAGAGAAAUUUAAGUUCAAUAAGUAAUAUAUGAUAUUCACUGAAAUUCUUAUUUAAUACACACCAGCAAACAAAAACGCUGUAAAUUAAAAACCAAAGAGAUGAUUUUCCAUCUUUUUUUUUAACUUAGCUUAGAUGAUUUUCCAUCUUUAAAUAAAGAUAACUGCGGUAGUGUAACAAUAAUAACCACAUUUACAGAAUUCAAAACCCGUUGAUACAAUUACAGAACCAUACCAACAUAACAAAAGAAUCUAAGGAAUAAACACAUCGGUGACAAGGGAAAUCACUAGAAGAAUUAUCCAACAUGUCCACCAAGUGGAGAAAGAGACAUAGGCGAAGAUAUUCUUUUAUUUUUUACAUAUUAAAAAUCACUAGAAUAAUUAUAAAUCUCAAAAUUGGAUAGUUUAGUCAUUUUAUCUACACAAAAGUGUAGUUUUCAAAAAUAAAUAAAUAGAAGAGUAGUUUUCGAAAUAAAAUGUCAUUCAAAUGUAGUUAUCCAAAUUUUUCCUUUAGGAAAGUGCAUUAAUAAGUAAGAAAGACAAAAUAUUUAUUGUUAGAUUUAUUAAAUACUUCAGUGAUAUUUCAUUAUAAAUAAGUGGUAAGUUUUAGGGCGAUUUCUUAUUUGUAUUUAUGUUUUAAUAAUAUAGUUGUCUAACUAUUUUAGUGACGAUGAUUUUACGAUUAUAUAUUUAAUUUAGUUGAUAUCAAACUCAAAUAACUAAGUUGGCUCACUUGUCUAAAGUUACGACUUUUGAAAAUAAUUAAUCUCAAAUCACUAAAUUGAUGGCAAGCACCCUCUUAGAUAAAUUAAAUAAUUAAUAAAUAAAUUCAUAUCACUUCUCAAACAACGAAUUUGCUGCAGCGAACUAUAAACUAGCAGUAGGGUUCAGAGGAUCUGACACAGCUAUUGGCAUGUCGGCAGGCACGAGGUAGGGAUAAAAUCCACAUAAAAAUAUUACCGUCAACUCAGAUGCAUGGACCUAAUUAAGGCAUUCCUUAUGGGCAUAGUAGCCAAUUUUCUCAAUUAGGUUGAAAAAUCUAUAUAUAUAAAAGAGGGUUUGGAUCCCUCCCAGGCUAUCCACGUAAGCUGACAGGUCACAAAUUCGCGUGAUACUGUUGCGACACGUAUGAAACGCAUCGUUUCAUUUAAACGUGAUUUCUUAUGGGAUUUGGUCCUUUAGACGUGAUUUCUGUAUCGGGCCUGAGUCGAAGGAAUUCGCACUCUAGCCCUAAACGAAGAAUUUCAGAUCUUCUCCUCUCUUCCUACAACAGCGCCGCCUGACGUCUGAACUCCCUUCCUUGGAUGAAACAGCUCCUGUAAUGGAAGAUGUUGUGAUUACUCCGUCUUUAAUCCCAUUAAUUCGUAAUCUCACUACGAGAGCUUCAGUUGCGUUGUUUCAUCGGCGAGUUCUGUAUAAAUAGUCCGGUCGGUGUUCAUCGGUUGUCGAGGCAAGGCUGCUUCAUUAUUGGGAGGCGAGGCGAGGCUGCUUCAUUAUGCGGGUGGAUUUGCUCCUGGUGGAUGUUAAUGUAGAGUCGAUACUGAUGAUCCGUUGUAUCUUCCUCGCCAUGUCUUCACUCACGGACAGUUGUACGUUGCCAUUUCUAGAGUCACAACUCCAACUGGGCUUAUGAUAUCAGACGAAACUUCUGAUGUGGACGGCAAAGAUGGAGUAACCAAUAUUGUCUACAAUGAAAUCGUCAAAGACGUCCGAGUGACUCAGGUUAGAUCUAAAUAUUUAGAUCAUGCAUCCGUAUCAACCUGAUUUCCGUCUACAGAGACUAACAAUGUAUAUUUGCCAUCGUACGUGGAGGCCUCAUUGCUCCCAGUGAAAUCAACAAGCGGAUAUAAAGGGACACGAAGGCGCAGAUAUAUCAUCAAACUGGAAACGUUCUUCUGCUAACUCCGAUCCGGAUUGUAAAACUUCCUUUAUCAGUUUUGUCUCAUGAAUUACAGCCAGUGUGUUAUUGACCAAUCUUACGCUUUCUGAAAACAUCGUUUACAAAACAAUGGAACAUAACGUUUUUAGACU